RNAcentral lists this ribosomal RNA (1471 nucleotides) under uncultured Bordetella sp. RNAcentral's name for it is "partial 16S-23S ribosomal RNA intergenic spacer". It matches the Rfam family "Bacterial small subunit ribosomal RNA". Lineage: Bacteria; Pseudomonadati; Pseudomonadota; Betaproteobacteria; Burkholderiales; Alcaligenaceae. The record is from RNAcentral.
AGUUCGAUCAUGGCUCAGAUUGAACGCUGGCGGGAUGCUUUGCAUGCAGUCGGGCGGCGGCACGGACUUCGAUUCCUGGUGGCGAGUGGCGAACGGGUGAGUAAUGUCGGAACGUGCCUGGUAGCGGGGAUAACUACGCGAAAGCGUAGCACAAUACCACAUAACGCUAAAGGAAAGCGGGGACCUUCGGGCUCGCACUAUUAGAGCGGUCGAUAUCCGGAUUAGCUGGUUGGUGGGGUAACGGCUCGCAGAAGCGGCAAAUCCGUAGCUGGUUUGAGAGGACGACAGCCACACUGGGACUGAGACACAGCCCAGACUCUGCAGGAGGCAGCAGUGAAAUUUUGGACAAUGAAACCUGAUCCAGCCAUCCCGCGUGUGCGAUGAAGGCCUUCAGGUUGUAAAGCACUUUUGGCAGGAAAGAAGCAGCACGGGAUAAUACCCCGUGCAACUGACGGUACCUGCGAAUAACGCAACUAACUACGUGCCAGCAGCCGCGGUAAUACGUAGGGUGCAAGCGUUAAUCGGAAUUACUGGGCAUCCGGCGUGCACGGGCGGUUCGGAAAGUCUUAAAAUCUGAAGAGCUGCUUUGGGUGCAUUUUUAACUACCGAGCUAGAGUGUGUCGGGGAGGUGGGAGAUACAUCUUAUGCGAUCGUGCGUAGAUAUGCCGGAGGAACACCGAUGGCGAAGGCAGCCUCCUGGGAUAACACUGACGCUCAUACGAAAGCGAUAAGGGCAAACAGGAUUAGAUACCUGAAAAUGAAUCCACGCCUAAACGAUGUCAGCUAGCUGUUGGGGCCUUCGGGCCUUGGUGGCGCAGCUAACGCGUGAAGUUGACCGCCUGGGGAAGUACGGUCACUUAGAAUUAAACUCAAAGGAAUUGACGAGGACCCGCACAAGCGGUGGAUGAUGUGGAUUAAUUCGAUGCAACGCGAAAAACCUUACCUACCCUUGACAUGUCUGGAAUCCCGAAGAGAUUUGGGAGUGCUCGCAAGAGAACCGGAACACAGGUGCUGCAUGGCUGUCGUCAGCUCGUGUCGUGAGAUGUUGGAGUUUGAUCCCGCAACGAGCGCAGCCCUUGUCAUUAGUUGCUACGAAAAGGGCACUCUAAUGAGACUGCCGGUGACAAACCGGAGGAAGGUGGGGAGAUGGCGAUAAGUCCUCAUGGCCCUUAUGGGUAGGGCUUCACACGUCAUACAAUGGUCGGGACAGAGGGUCGCCAACCCGCGAGGGGAGCCAAUCCCAGAAACCCGAUCGUAGUCCGGAUCGCAGUCUAUAAACUCGACUGCGUGAAGUCGGAAUCGCUAGUAAUCGCGGAUCAGCAUGUCGCGGUGAAUACGUUCCCAGGUCUUGUACACACCGCCCGUCACACCAUGGGAGUGGGUUUUACCAGAAGUAGUUGAAACAAUAACCCAGCAAGGAGGGCGAUUACCACGGUAGGAUUCAUGACUAGGUGAAGUCGUAACAAGGUAA